AGGUGAACCCCGGGCGGAAGGGCGUGGGCGUCAAUCUCAGGUCCAUUGGCAAGAACUGCAACCCGGUGGAUCUCAAGUUCACUGGCAAGGCCGCCUACGACGUCUAAGAUCUCAUUUCUAGUUCUCCGUGUAAACCAUGAAACUUUAAAAGCAGUCCAUGGGCCUUGCAUCUCUCACCUUUGAGUAAAUGGAUCUCGAUCGAACUGUGUAAAUCUAUCUUCUCUUCGUUCCAUCUUUUCUUCAUUUUUUAAGUAAUGUUUAUGAUAACAAAGAACGCAAGUUUGAAAAGCUUGUACUGCAUGUGGUGGUGUUCUCAGGUAUGAAAAGUUUGUUCACCUCAGUAUCUACUGCAGCUAGGUAGACGUUUCAGUCUUGCCUUUGUCCAUUUGAACCUACAUAUAAACAUACACUUUAAAUCAUAUUGAAAACUAUGGUGUAUGAUUCUUCAUAUCCUUUCAUCUCUUCUUGUACAAGAUUCUUGUGUAGAAUCACAUAUGUUACAUAUGAAAACUUUUUAAAUCAUGAAUUACCUUUAUGUUGCUAGUAAUGUUUAUAUGCUUAUGUAUACAUAGGAAAUAAAUGGGGAAAAUCAUUCUUACACUGCCGCAAACAUGGACACAAGGAAAACCAUAUGGUAUGUAUAUGUUGUAACUGAGAAUGUAUGUUUACAACAACAAAAAAAAAACAA
RNAcentral lists this long non-coding RNA (688 nucleotides) under Selaginella moellendorffii. RNAcentral's name for it is "long non-coding RNA (SMOE_LNC002207)". Lineage: Eukaryota; Viridiplantae; Streptophyta; Lycopodiopsida; Selaginellales; Selaginellaceae. The record is from RNAcentral.